This 497-nucleotide ribosomal RNA is filed under the name uncultured bacterium. RNAcentral's name for it is "partial 16S ribosomal RNA". It matches the Rfam family "Bacterial small subunit ribosomal RNA", at positions 28 to 507 of the family's 1533-position model. The record is from RNAcentral.
GAUGAACGCUGGCGGCGUGCCUAAUACAUGCAAGUCGAACGAACAGACGCGGAGCUUGCUGCUCUGACGUUAGCGGCGGACGGGUGAGUCACACGUGGAUAACCUACCUAUCAGACUGGGAUCACUUCGGGAAACCGGCGCUAAUACCGGAUAAUCUAUUGAACCGCAUGGUUCGAUAGUGAAAUACGGUUUUUCUGUCACUUAUCGCUGGAUCCGCGCCGCAUUAGCUAGUUGGUAAGGUCACGGCUUACCAAGGCAAGGAUGCGUAGCCGACGUGAGAGGGUGAUCGGCCACAUGGGAACGGAGACACGGUCCAGAGUACUAAGGGAGGCAGCAGUAGGGAAUCUUCCGCAAUGGGCGAAAGCUUGACGGAGCAACGCCGCGUGAGUGAUGAAGGUCUCCGGAUCGUAAUACUCGGUUAUGAGGGAAGAACAAAUGUGUAAGUAAAUAUGCACGUCUUGACGGUACCUAAUAAGAAAGCCACGGCUAACUACGUG